CGCUAUACAACAGUGCUAUAGCGAUGCUAUCUGACAACAUUUUGAACUAAACAGCAUAUAGCCGAAAAGUAGAAGCAUAGCACUGCUAGCCGCUAUUUAACAAACACUGCACAAGAUCUAUCGUAUUAUCAUUAACUACGAGUAAGAAGCUAGGAUCACUUUAAACAUUCAUUUUGACAAUGUUGAUUUCAUGAUACUACAUGAGAGCACAAGUACAAGUUGACAAUAUUGCUAAUGAAAAAUAAUGAAUUUUAUUCAUCACAAAUCAUUAAUAUACAUAGUUCUGUAUUUUAACGAAGCAAUCUGGAUAUUUUACAAAUCAAAAAAGGAAAUAGUAACUCUGCCGCCAUCCUAGUUUCAUCUUAUUUUCCAUUGUUAGUACUUUUUGUGACUGCUAGUGUGGACAUCCAAUCCAAGUGUCUGAGGAUUAAAUCAAUGCCUGUUACGAACCGAUUAAUAAUUAACGUAUCAUAAAUUCAUAAGUGAAGAGAGAUCUAGCCAAAAAUAUAACAUACUCAAUAUAAAGUUAAAAUUAUAAUGUAGGAAUGCACAAAACUGAUACCAUAUUAGUUCUAAAACUCUUCUUAAUUUCUAUUAAAGAAAAGGAUUUGUAGAGUACUAAUGUCGUCGAAUGCUAUGCAAAUCAAUGAAAAACAGUAAGCAUGUUUAUAUAUUGAAAGACAUGCCUGUUUUUCCUGUGCACAAUCUUUAGAUUGAAGGUUUCAAAUUCCUCCUCCUGUGCCUUUAUUUGCCUUACCUGCUCUUGCACCGCAGCGAUCUCUUCAUCCUCUUGUGAUAC
Molecule: long non-coding RNA, 799 nt
Filed under: Cicer arietinum (chickpea)
Lineage: Eukaryota; Viridiplantae; Streptophyta; Magnoliopsida; Fabales; Fabaceae
Description: long non-coding RNA (CARI_LNC003221)
Source: RNAcentral